GAUGAAGAACGUAGCGAAAUGCGAUACGUAGUGUGAAUUGCAGAAUUCAGUGAAUCAUCGAAUCUUUGAACGCACAUUGCACCUCUCGGUAUUCCUGGAGGUAUGCCUGUUCGAGCGUCAUUUGUACCCUCAAGCUCUGCUUGGUGUUGGGUGUUUGUUCCGCCUCUGUGUGUGAACUCGCCUCAAAACAAUUGGCAGCCGGCGUACUUGUUUCGGAGCGCAGCACAUUUUGCGAUCCUGAUCAACGUACAGCGGCAUCCAAGAAGCCUUAUUUAACGCUCUUGACCUCGGAUCAGGUAGGGAUACCCGCUGAACUUAAGCAUAUCAAUAAGCGGAGGA
Molecule: unclassified non-coding RNA, 339 nt
Filed under: soil metagenome
Description: partial contains 5.8S ribosomal RNA, internal transcribed spacer 2, and large subunit ribosomal RNA
Rfam family: 5.8S ribosomal RNA (bases 1-120)
Source: RNAcentral